Molecule: ribosomal RNA, 1608 nt
Filed under: Triticum aestivum (bread wheat)
Lineage: Eukaryota; Viridiplantae; Streptophyta; Magnoliopsida; Poales; Poaceae
Description: partial small subunit ribosomal RNA
Source: RNAcentral
AUGUCGCUCAAAGGCUACCACGAAGCCUCGCUGCAUCCGCCGGCCGCGUACGAUGCGGCGGCGCCGGAGGAGUGGGAGUGGGACUGGGGGGAAGCCCUCCUCGACAGAUCCGCCUACAUGGUCGACAAGAAAGACCACCAGAAAAACCAUACCUCCGCCUGCCAUCGAUUCCGGAGGAACCUGCGCGGCAGGGAGGUGAAGGUGGAGAUGCAGGUGAGCCUGUUCAUGGCGCCGCCGCCUCGCGUCUCCUACUUCUGCUGCUCCGCUAACCGCACCGACGACGCCGACGACGAGCACCGGGAACAAGAAGACGCCCCCCGCCUGUUCGUCCGCGAGCCUUGGAUGAUCGCCACGGCGGGCGACCUUGCCCUCCUCACCCUCUGCCACGGCCACAACCGUGCCUUCUACGGCGAAAACAGCAACUACGACUACUUCCUCUACCAGGCAGCAGCCUCGCCGGCGGGGUCGCCGGAGCUCACCCGGCUCCCGCGGCCCCAACCCGACAUGCUGCCAGCUUUUGGAACUCGCUGCUUCCCUACCGGCAGUAUCGGUGUCUUGCGUUACCACAGCAACAGCCCCAAGGAUGAUGCCUGUGAUGCCUACAGGAUCGCGGCGCUCGCCUACGACCCUUUCCACCCCGGCCAUUCCGGAUACUACCUGUGCACCUACGACUCCAAGGACCCUCGGUGGAGACGCACGCCCACUGCCUCUCCACAGCCACCGCCGCCUGACGACUUUGUGUCCAGCAAGGUCCACGCCGAACCCAGCCCGCGCUCGCAAACGCCUAGCGGCUGGACGGUGGUCACGUGGACCUUGGAGGGGCUCAAUGGCGGUCUGGACGCCAUGUUUUUCCGGCAGGAGCACGAGAUCCAUUCUGGAGAUAUCCACGGCUACAACCUGCCCCAGUCUCUCUUUGUUUCCAACCCCAUCCUCAGCUCCCACAGUGAUGGCGUCCUCUACCUCUUGACCAAUGCCAGCAGCGAAAACACCAACACCAGGACGUCGAAGGUGAUUGCUCUUGACCUCAACCAGAAGACGCUGCUGGACGUGCAGGAAUUCGACAUGCAAAGACCCAGCUCCUACAUGGCCACCAGCAUCUCCAGCUAUCUCAUGCCAGCUGCUGCAGGUAUGAGUCUUGGUAAUCUGUACUGUGAUCCUCUAAUGGUUCAUGGAGGCCAGAAGAUCACAGCGAGGCAGCGAUGGACACCAACCCAGAUGCAGCUGCAGAUCCUCGAGAUCGUUUUCAACCAAGGAAAUGGAACACCAAGCAAGCAGAAGAUAAAAGACAUCACAGCGGAGCUCUCGCAGCAUGGCCAGAUCUCGGAGACCAACGUCUACAACUGGUUCCAAAACAGACGUGCACGCUCGAAGCGGAAGCAAGCAGCUUCUUCUCUACCAAAUAACGCUGAAUCCGAAGCCGAGGGGGAUGAGGAGUCCCUGACCGACAAGAAGCCUAGAUCAGAUGGGUCACAGCAGCAGAACAUGGCUGUGAGAGCUCACAACCCUGAGAGGAUCUCAGAGAUGCACCGCCACUUCGACGCAGCAGAGCGUGAGCAGGUCCGUGGUCCAAUGAUGUAUGGGUCCAGCAACGACACCUCAAGGUCGUAG